UACGUAGGUGACAAGCGUUGUCCGGAUUUACUGGGCGUAAAGAGCGCGCAGGCGGUCGAUCAAGUCGAGUGUGAAAGCCCCCGGCUCAACUGGGGAGGGUCAUUCGAUACUGAUCGACUCGAAGGCAGGAGAGGGUAGUGGAAUUCCCGGUGUAGUGGUGAAAUGCGUAGAUAUCGAGAGGAACACCAGUGGCGAAGGCGAGUCCCUGGACAACACCUGACACUGAGGCACGAAAGCUAGGGGAGCAAACGGG
RNAcentral lists this ribosomal RNA (253 nucleotides) under uncultured bacterium. RNAcentral's name for it is "partial 16S ribosomal RNA". It matches the Rfam family "Bacterial small subunit ribosomal RNA", at positions 524 to 776 of the family's 1533-position model. The record is from RNAcentral.